GAUGAACGCUGGCGGCGUGCUUAACACAUGCAAGUCGAACGGAAAGGCCCAAGCUUGCUUGGGUACUCGAGUGGCGAACGGGUGAGUAACACGUGGGUGAUCUGCCCUGCACUUCGGGAUAAGCCUGGGAAACUGGGUCUAAUACCGGAUAGGACCACUUCUUGGAUGUUGUGGUGGAAAGUUUUUUCGGUGUGGGAUGAGCUCGCGGCCUAUCAGCUUGUUGGUGGGGUAAUGGCCUAACAAGGCGUCGACGGGUAGCCGGCCUGAGAGGGGGUACGGCCACAUUGGGGCUGAGAUACGGCCCAGACCCCGACGGGAGGCAGCAGUGGGGAAUAUUGCACAAUGGGCGCAAGACUGAUGCAGCGAAGCCGGGGGGGGGAUGACGGCCUUCGGGGUGGAAACUCCUUUCGCUAGGGACGAAGCGUUUUGUGACGGUACUUGGAGAAGAAGCACCGGCUAACUACGUG
Molecule: ribosomal RNA, 467 nt
Filed under: uncultured bacterium
Lineage: Bacteria
Description: partial 16S ribosomal RNA
Rfam family: Bacterial small subunit ribosomal RNA
Source: RNAcentral